Molecule: ribosomal RNA, 497 nt
Filed under: uncultured bacterium
Lineage: Bacteria
Description: partial 16S ribosomal RNA
Rfam family: Bacterial small subunit ribosomal RNA
Source: RNAcentral
GAUGAACGCUGGCGGCGUGCCUAAUACAUGCAAGUCGAGCGAACAGACGAGGAGCUUGCUCCUCUGACGUUAGCGGCGGACGGGUGAGUAACACGUGGAUAACCUACCUAUAAGACUGGGAUAACUUCGGGAAACCGGAGCUAAUACCGGAUAAUAUAUUGAACCGCAUGGUUCAAUAGUGAAAGACGGUUUUGCUGUCACUUAUAGAUGGAUCCGCGCCGCAUUAGCUAGUUGGUAAGGUAACGGCUUACCAAGGCAACGAUGCGUAGCCGACCUGAGAGGGUGAACGGCCCCACUGGAAGUGAGACACGGUCCAGACUCCUACGGGAGGCAGCAGUAGGGAAUCUUCCGCGAUGGGCGAAAGCCUGACGGAGCAACGCCGCGUGAGUGAUGAAGGUCUUCGGAUCGUAAAACUCUGUUAUUAGGGAAGACCAAAUGUGUAAGUAACUAUGCACGUCUUGACGGUACCUAAUAAGAAAGCAACGGCUAACUACGUG